ACUUCUUUAGUACAACUAAUACUAAUGACUUCCAAUCAUUCUAUCUUGGUUAAAUUCCAAGAAGAAGUA
RNAcentral lists this transfer RNA (69 nucleotides) under Anomaloglossus megacephalus. RNAcentral describes it as "tRNA-Gly". It matches the Rfam family "tRNA". Rfam says of the family: Transfer RNA (tRNA) molecules are approximately 80 nucleotides in length. Their secondary structure includes four short double-helical elements and three loops (D, anti-codon, and T loops). Further hydrogen bonds mediate the characteristic L-shaped molecular structure. tRNAs have two regions of fundamental functional importance: the anti-codon, which is responsible for specific mRNA codon recognition, and the 3' end, to which the tRNAs corresponding amino acid is attached (by aminoacyl-tRNA synthetases). tRNAs cope with the degeneracy of the genetic code in two manners: having more than one tRNA (with a specific anti-codon) for a particular amino acid; and 'wobble' base-pairing, i.e. permitting non-standard base-pairing at the 3rd anti-codon position. Lineage: Eukaryota; Metazoa; Chordata; Amphibia; Anura; Aromobatidae. The record is from RNAcentral.